CUGAUGCAGCAACGCCGCGUGAGGGAUGACGGCCUUCGGGUUGUAAACCUCUUUUACCAGGGAAGAAGCGAAAGUGACGGUACCUGCAGAAGAAGCGCCGGCUAACUACGUGCCAGCAGCCGCGGUAAUACGUAGGGCGCAAGCGUUAUCCGGAAUUAUUGGGCGUAAAGAGCUCGUAAGCGGUUUGUCCCGUCUGCUGUGAAAUCCCGAGGCUCAACCUCUGGCCUGCAUUGGGUACGGGCAGACUAUAGUGCGGGAGGGGAAAUUGGAAUUCCUGGUGUAACGGUGGAAUGCCCAAAUAUCAGGAAGAACACCGAUGGCGAAAGGAGAUCUCUGGGCCGUUACUGACGCUGAAGAACGAAAGGGUGGGGAACAAACAGGCUUAAAUACCCUGGUAGUCCACCCCGUAAACGUUGGGAACUAAUUGUGGGGUCCAUUCCACGGAUUCCGUGACGCAGCUAACGCAUUAAGUUCCCCGCCUGGGGAGUACGGCCGCAAGGCUAAAACUCAAAGAAAUUGACGGG
Molecule: ribosomal RNA, 524 nt
Filed under: uncultured Microbacterium sp.
Lineage: Bacteria; Bacillati; Actinomycetota; Actinomycetes; Micrococcales; Microbacteriaceae
Description: bacterial SSU rRNA
Rfam family: Bacterial small subunit ribosomal RNA
Source: RNAcentral